RNAcentral lists this ribosomal RNA (468 nucleotides) under uncultured bacterium. RNAcentral's name for it is "partial 16S ribosomal RNA". It matches the Rfam family "Bacterial small subunit ribosomal RNA", at positions 28 to 507 of the family's 1533-position model. The record is from RNAcentral.
GACGAACGCUGGCGGCGUGCUUAACACAUGCAAGUCGAACGGAAAGGCCCUGCUCUUGUGGGGUGCUCGAGUGGCGAACGGGUGAGUAACACGUGAGUAACCUGCCCUUGACUUUGGGAUAACUUCAGGAAACUGGGGCUAAUACCGGAUAGGAGCUCCUGCUGCAUGGUGGGGGUUGGAAAGUUUCGGCGGUUGGGGAUGGACUAGCGGCUUAUCAGCUUGUUGGUGGGGUAGUGGCUUACCAAGGCUUUGACGGGUAGCCGGCCUGAGAGGGUGACCGGCCACAUUGGGACUGAGAUACGGCCCAGACUCCGACGGGAGGCAGCAGUGGAGAAUAUUGCACAAUGGGCGGAAGCCUGAUGCAGCAACGCCGCGUGCGUGAUGACGGCCUUCGGGUUGUAAACCGCUUUCGCCUGUGACGAAGCGUGAGUGACGGUAAUGGGUAAAGAAGCACCGGCUAACUACGUG